AGAGACUUGAAAAUAAAUUGACGGAAUGUGAAGCGACGCAAAAAAUUCAUUCUAAUUUUCAUGUUUAUAUGAGAUUCUAGCACAUCCAUGUACAAUCAAGAGAUCAGAGGAAUAAAAAACCAUUGGAAAAAGGCCAUUUCCAGUCUAAAUCUACUAAAAACCAUGUUCAGAGGAUGAUCGAAAGUCAGAAAAGGUAAAUUAUCUUCAUCCUGAAUUUUUAUUUGUGAAAAUAAAAAACAGAGGAAAUGAAGAUCACAU
RNAcentral lists this unclassified non-coding RNA (258 nucleotides) under Hevea brasiliensis (rubber tree). The record is from RNAcentral. Lineage: Eukaryota; Viridiplantae; Streptophyta; Magnoliopsida; Malpighiales; Euphorbiaceae.